UAAUACGUAGGUGGCAAGCGUUGUCCGGAAUUAUUGGGCGUAAAGCGCGCGCAGGCGGCUUCUUAAGUCUGAUGUGAAAUCUUGCGGCUCAACCGCAAGCGGCCAUUGGAAACUGGGAGGCUUGAGUGCAGAAGAGGAGAGUGGAAUUCCACGUGUAGCGGUGAAAUGCGUAGAGAUGUGGAGGAACACCAGUGGCGAAGGCGGCUCUCUGGUCUGUAACUGACGCUGAGGCGCGAAAGCGUGGGGAGCAAACAGGAUUAGAUACCCUGGUAGUCCACGCCGUAAACGAUGAGUGCUAAGUGUUAGAGGGUUUCCGCUCUUUAGUGCUGCAGCUAACGCAUUAAGCACUCCGCCUGGGGAGUACGGCCGCAAGGCUGAA
This 379-nucleotide ribosomal RNA is filed under the name uncultured bacterium. RNAcentral's name for it is "bacterial SSU rRNA". It matches the Rfam family "Bacterial small subunit ribosomal RNA", at positions 521 to 898 of the family's 1533-position model. The record is from RNAcentral.